UUUCCGGUUGAUCCCGCCGGAGGCUACUGCUAUUGGGGUUCGAUUAAGCCAUGCGAGUCUAAAGGUCCUUCGGGACCUUGGCAUACGGCUCAGUAACACGUGGAUAAUCUGCCCUUAGGUGGGGGAUAAGCUCGGGAAACUGAGUAUAAUACCCCAUAGGUCCGGGAGGCUGGAAUGCGCCCAGGCUGAAAGAUCCGUCGCCUAAGGAUGAGUCCGCGGCCUAUCAGGUUGUAGUCAGGGUAAAGACCUGACUAGCCGUCGACGGGUACGGGUGUUGAGAGACAUAGCCCGGAGAUGGACUCUGAGACACGAGUCCAGGCCCUACGGGGCGCAGCAGGCGCGAAAACUUCGCAAUGCGGGAAACCGUGACGAGGGAACCCCAAGUGCUUAUGCAAUGCAUGAGCUGUUUGCCAGCCUAAAAAGCUGGUAGAGUAAGGGCUGGGUAAGACCGGUGCCAGCCGCCGCGGUAAUACCGGCAGCUCGAGUGGUAGCCACUAUUAUUGGGCCUAAAGCGUCCGUAGCCGGUUUGGUAAAUCCCUGGGUAAAUCGUGAUGCCUAACAUCAUGACUUCCGGGGAGACUGCUAGACUUGGGAACGGGAGAGGUUAGGGGUACUUGCGGGGUAGCGGUGAAAUGCUAUAAUCCUGCAGGGACCACCAGUGGCGAAGGCGCCUAACUUGAACGUGUCCGACGGUAAGGGACGAAACCCUGGGUCGCGAACGGGAUUAGAUACCCCGGUAGUCCAGGGCGUAAACGCUGCAGGCUUGGUGUUGGGGAUCCCGCGUGGGUGCCCAGUGCCGGAGUGAAGAUGUUAAGCUUGCCGCCUGGGGAGUACGGUCGCAAGACUGAAACUUAAAGGAAUUGGCGGGGGAGCACAGCAACGGGUGGAGCGUGCGGUUUAAUUGGAUUCAACGCCGGG
This 918-nucleotide ribosomal RNA is filed under the name uncultured Thermoplasmatales archaeon. Its description in RNAcentral is "bacterial SSU rRNA". It matches the Rfam family "Archaeal small subunit ribosomal RNA", at positions 1 to 922 of the family's 1478-position model. Lineage: Archaea; Methanobacteriati; Thermoplasmatota; Thermoplasmata; Thermoplasmatales. The record is from RNAcentral.